Molecule: transfer RNA, 77 nt
Filed under: Deltaproteobacteria bacterium
Lineage: Bacteria; Pseudomonadati; Myxococcota; Myxococcia
Description: tRNA-Arg
Rfam family: tRNA
About the family: Transfer RNA (tRNA) molecules are approximately 80 nucleotides in length. Their secondary structure includes four short double-helical elements and three loops (D, anti-codon, and T loops).
Source: RNAcentral
GCGCCCGUAGCUCAGUUGGAUAGAGCGUCGGACUUCGAAUCCGAAGGCCGGGCGUUCAAAUCGCCCCGGGCGUGCCA